This 207-nucleotide ribosomal RNA is filed under the name uncultured bacterium. RNAcentral's name for it is "partial 16S ribosomal RNA". It matches the Rfam family "Bacterial small subunit ribosomal RNA", at positions 568 to 774 of the family's 1533-position model. The record is from RNAcentral.
CGCGUAGGCGGAUGGACCAGUCAGAGGUGAAAGCCCUGGGCUCAACCCGGGAACUGCCUUUGAAACUGUUCGUCUUGAGUAUGGGAGAGGAUGGCGGAAUACCCAGUGUAGAGGUGAAAUUCGUAGAUAUUGGGUAGAACACCAGUGGCGAAGGCGGCCAUCUGGCCCAUAACUGACGCUGAGGCGCGAAAGCGUGGGGAGCAAACA